AGUCGGACGGUAGCACAGAGGAGCUUGCUCCUCGGGUGACGAGUGGCGGACGGGUGAGUAAUGUCUGGGAAACUGCCCGAUGGAGGGGGAUAACUACUGGAAACGGUAGCUAAUACCGCAUAACGUCGCAAGACCAAAGUGGGGGACCUUCGGGCCUCACACCAUCGGAUGUGCCCAGAUGGGAUUAGCUUGUAGGCGGGGUAACGGCCCACCUAGGCGACGAUCCCUAGCUGGUCUGAGAGGAUGACCAGCCACACUGGAACUGAGACACGGUCCAGACUCCUACGGGAGGCAGCAGUGGGGAAUAUUGCACAAUGGGCGCAAGCCUGAUGCAGCCAUGCCGCGUGUAUGAAGAAGGCCUUCGGGUUGUAAAGUACUUUCAGCGGGGAGGAAGGUGNUGAGGUUAAUAACCUCAGCAAUUGACGUUACCCGCAGAAGAAGCACCGGCUAACUCCGUGCCAGCAGCCGCGGUAAUACGGAGGGUGCAAGCGUUAAUCGGAAUUACUGGGCGUAAAGCGCACGCAGGCGGUCUGUUAAGUCAGAUGUGAAAUCCCCGGGCUUAAC
Molecule: ribosomal RNA, 564 nt
Filed under: Pantoea stewartii
Lineage: Bacteria; Pseudomonadati; Pseudomonadota; Gammaproteobacteria; Enterobacterales; Erwiniaceae
Description: bacterial SSU rRNA
Rfam family: Bacterial small subunit ribosomal RNA
Source: RNAcentral